Molecule: RNA transcript, 2036 nt
Organism: Scylla paramamosain (green mud crab)
Lineage: Eukaryota; Metazoa; Arthropoda; Malacostraca; Decapoda; Portunidae
Exons: 4
Source: RefSeq, a predicted model, not a curated record
CUUUUAUUUGUUUGGUAAGUGUGGGUCAAAUAUUUACAACUGAUGUCACUCCUUUAUUCACUAAAAUAUAACACGGAACUAGAAAACUGGUGGAGGGAGGGAGCGCUGGUGGAGGGAGGGGAGAGGAAGGGAGUGGAGGGUGCAGAGUGUCAGGAAGAGGAAGAGCGAGAGUGUUGCAAGAGAAGUACUGGUCUGUGCUGCGUGUGGGAAGUGACUUUAGUGGCGGCGUGAAGGCGAGGACACGAGUGAGGUGCUGGCAGGCUGACUGAGCGCAAUGGACCAACACGAAUAGCUGGAGCUCGGGGGACAGGCGCGCGAAGGCAGACGGCGACAGAUUCGUGACUCAAAACAAAAGCAUCGUGACAGCACAAGUGGGAGCAUCCGUCAUUCUUCACUGCAAGACCUCAAGUGCGACUGGCGGCCUGAUUUUUUUAAGAAUACGCUGCUCUGAGGCAAGCACUGAGAAACCAGGAAUGUCAUGGCCUCCAAUACGAUGACUGGUGAGGUAAACAAGUUAUGUCACUCGUGAUGGCGCAGGCGGCGAGUGGAGGCGAGGCUGCCCACCGCAUCCAUCCUCUGAGUGGCAUUAGUGCAGGAGUCCUUGUCUCAUCAGCCUCGGCCUCCACAAACACGGGCUGCUUUAACACUUGUGAAUACAAGGCAAAAAACAUGGUGUCUUGGAUCAGGAAGAGGGACUACCAGCUCCUGACGGUGAGUCUGUACACACACUCCAGUGACGACCGCUUCUCCAUCAACUACGUGCAUUGGGUGAGUGUUUGCUCUUGUGUGUGUGUGUGUGUGUGUGUGUGUGUGUAGAGGGGGUAUUUUCUCAUGAAUGUAAAUAUUAAUGUAUAGAUUCUCUCUCUCUCUCUCUCUCUCUCUCUCUCUCUCUCUCUCUCUCUCUCUCUCUCUCUCUCUAUCUCUUUGGCCCUAUAUUUAGCAGUGGGAAUUCCAGGCACUGCAGGUGUUUAGCUGAAAGAAAAUGUCACGUUGCGAGAGAGACCAGUGUGUAAUGACUCUUGGAUUGAAAAUAUUGAAGUGCAGUUGUGUGCAUGACCUAAUGAAGGUGACGCCAAGCACACUCAAUGAUUUAACGGUAAAUUUUUUUUUAACAAUGAAGAUGAAUAGAUCAAAGUCAAUAACAUGAACAGUUAAUCAUUAAGCAAUAUAUUAGCUUCGAUUACUAAUUAAAAGUUAAUAAAAAACUGACAUGGAAUAAAAAUCAUAAACCAAUAUUUCCUAAACUCUUCAGUUCUUCCUUAUUUAAUGAAUUGAAGUAAGAUUUAAUUAAUUUUCAUGUUCAUUACAAAUCAAGCAUUUCAACGCUUCACAUGCAUGCAUAUUCACAGACAACAAUAAUGUUAACGAAACACAGAUGAAGCACAACACUCAUGAUUGCAGUCGUCCAAUCAGUCCCUAACAUCCUCGUCCAUAUUAAACACGAUGACGCCCAAAAUAUUUGUUUACAAUUACACACAUGCACGAAAUAUUGCCAUACACUUUCAUUAAACCCUGCUGGUCAUGAUGUCGGGGCGGCCACCACUGCCUGACACACACACACACACACACACACACACACACACUCGUUCACCAUAACACGCCUACAAUUGAAUAACAAGACUGAGGAUGUAUUGUGUGUGGCGGCGCAGGUGUGUGCUGUCUUAUCCCAGCGGCGAGCUAGUAUUGUGGCGCCAUUGUGUUGCCAUUGCAGUCAACACUUCACCGAUUUUUUGAGGCCACGGCGGCUCGGGAUGAGAGUCGCGGUAAUACGGCUUGAGGGUGGCGCGGCGAGCGGCGGCACGAGGAUUGGCGCCCACUCCUAGCGGGGAGCCUGCACCUGCUGCCUCGUCCACACACACACACACACACACACACACACACAGUAUACACUAGGCACUUUAUCCCUUCACCAUAUUCUUGUGCCAUCAUUUCCGAAAUUCGAAAACCCUAUACUGAAAUAGAUUCCCAUAAGACGAGUCUGUGGCAGGAUUUGUUGCCCAUUCACCCACCUGACUAACCCUGCACGGUAUCAAGGA